Molecule: long non-coding RNA, 470 nt
Organism: Trichoplusia ni (cabbage looper)
Lineage: Eukaryota; Metazoa; Arthropoda; Insecta; Lepidoptera; Noctuidae
Exons: 2
Source: RefSeq, a predicted model, not a curated record
UGAGUAUACUAAGGGGCGGUAUUUGCAGGGUGAUUGAGCGCGCCAUUGAUAAAUUGGCGCGUCGGCACGGAGCCCACAUCAACGAGUACGAUGCGAACAACGGCGGCGACAACGCGAGACGUCUCACCGGCAAGAAUGGGCAACCGCAUAUCAAAGAUUUUACUGCAGGUGUGGCUAACAGGACUUGCGCUGUAAGAAUACCUCGACAAGUGUCCGAAGACAAGAAAGGAUACUUGGAGGACCGUCGCCCCGCGGCUAAUGCCGACCCCUACCGCAUCAUUUCAAUAAUGCUUAGAACAUGCAUAUUCGAUGAGUAAGCUGCAGUUGGCAACGACACUUACUCGGUAUGUGUUGAGUUGGUUUCCUGUUUGGCGCAAUUACAGUUACAGCGUACAUAAAUAUGUACAACUGAUUGAUUAAACGCUUGAAUGUCUUUGUAAACUUUGUGUUUGAAUAAAAUUACGCCUUUA